AUGUACCCACUUACACUCCGGUUUUUCCGCGCCGUCCGCACUCACCUGACGACUGCUCGCUACGUUUUGUUAGCC
This 75-nucleotide small RNA is filed under the name Xanthomonas campestris pv. raphani. RNAcentral's name for it is "sX9 sRNA". It matches the Rfam family "Xanthomonas sRNA sX9". The record is from RNAcentral. Lineage: Bacteria; Pseudomonadati; Pseudomonadota; Gammaproteobacteria; Lysobacterales; Lysobacteraceae.